Non-coding RNA from Dipodomys ordii (Ord's kangaroo rat), 66 nucleotides. The record is from Rfam. Lineage: Eukaryota; Metazoa; Chordata; Mammalia; Rodentia; Heteromyidae.
GGUGGCUCAGCGGUAAGAGUGCUUGCCUCACAUGCAUGAGGCCCUGGGUUUGAUUCCUCAGCACCA